Molecule: non-coding RNA, 118 nt
Filed under: Jaculus jaculus (lesser Egyptian jerboa)
Lineage: Eukaryota; Metazoa; Chordata; Mammalia; Rodentia; Dipodidae
Source: RNAcentral
GUGCUGUGUGAAAGAAGAGGAGGUUGGCACUCCCCUUGACAGGAAUGAACGAGGUCCUCCGGCCCAACACAGAUGGUUAGGGCAUUGUCAACUACUUAAACGUUAACUACAGUUUAGU